GCGUGGUGACAAGUAUCUGUAAUCUCAGCUGUGCAGGAGGCUGAGGUGGGAGGACUGCUUGAGCCCAGGAGUCCUGGGCUGCAUGCGCUAUGCCGAUCGGGUGUUCACACUAAAUUUGGCAUCAAUAUGUUGACCCCCCAGGAAUGAGGGAUCUCCAGGUUGCCUAAGAAGGGGUGAACUGGCCCAGGUUGGAAAUGGAGCAGGUGGAAAUUCCUGUACUGAUCAGCAGUGGGAUCGUGCCCACAAAGAGCCAUUGAACUCCAGACUGGGCAACAUAGUAAGAUCCCAUCUAU
This is an unclassified non-coding RNA of Rhinopithecus bieti (black snub-nosed monkey), 293 nucleotides long. It matches the Rfam family "Metazoan signal recognition particle RNA". From Rfam's summary of the family: The signal recognition particle (SRP) is a universally conserved ribonucleoprotein. It is involved in the co-translational targeting of proteins to membranes. The record is from Ensembl. NCBI's taxonomy places the organism in Eukaryota, Metazoa, Chordata, Mammalia, Primates, Cercopithecidae.